This 433-nucleotide ribosomal RNA is filed under the name uncultured bacterium. RNAcentral describes it as "partial 16S ribosomal RNA". It matches the Rfam family "Bacterial small subunit ribosomal RNA", at positions 29 to 507 of the family's 1533-position model. The record is from RNAcentral.
AACGAACGCUGGCGGCAGGCCUAACACAUGCAAGUCGAGCGAGCAUUUCGGUGCUAGCGGCGGACGGGUGAGUAACGCGUGGGAACGUGCCCUUUUCUGCGGAAUAGUCCUGGGAAACUGGGGGUAAUACCGCAUACGCCCUUUUGGGGAAAGAUUUAUCGGAGAAGGAUCGGCCCGGGUUGGAUUAGGUAGUUGGUGGGGUAAUGGCCCACCAAGCCGACGAUCCAUAGCUGGUUGGAGAGGAUGAUCAGCCACACUGGGACUGCGACACGGCCCAGACUCCUACGGGAGGCAGCAGUGGGGAAUCUUAGACAAUGGGGGCAACCCUGAUCUAGCCAUGCCGCGUGAGUGAUGAAGGCCUUAGGGUUGUAAAGCUCUUUCAGCUGGGAAGAUAAUGACGGUACCAGCAGAAGAAGCCCCGGCUAACUCCGUG